Raphanus sativus (radish) is the source of this 1749-nucleotide RNA transcript. RefSeq lists it as uncharacterized. The record is from RefSeq and is a predicted model, not a curated record. The transcript is spliced from 7 exons. Lineage: Eukaryota; Viridiplantae; Streptophyta; Magnoliopsida; Brassicales; Brassicaceae.
GAAGAAUGGACAGAGAAACCUACAUUGUUUCAUGUUUCCAGUUUUUCUCUCUAGACGUUUCCACUUCAUCUUCUCCGAUGUAAGAUUUUUUUUUAUAACCUUCUCAAUAAAUGAUGAUCUUUAAACCAUUCUCGAAUGUUUCUUUCCACCUCUCUAUGAUCCUUCUCCUAUAUAAAGCUAUAUAUUUUAACCUAAAUCAACCUUAAAUCCCAACUCUCCAUUGGCACUUUAUUCUAUACCUAACUGCAUGAUCUCUACUUCUACUCAACCACCGUCAAAUCGAAAAUGCAAUUCCUCCAGUAAAAGCUCAGUCGCCUUCGAAGCUCCUUCACCGCUGAAUCAUCAUCAUCAAGGUUCUUACCAUGUGACGUCUCUCACCUUCGUCUACCCGUCGAGAAUAUAUGCAGUAAAAAAUCCAGUUCCCGCUGACAGAGAGAUCCCGAAGAAGAUGAUAUACAUACUUAAACUCGGAUUUCAAGUGAGGAUGGUGGUCUUCUGAAGAAGCUAUGCUUUUGUGCGAGAAAGGAUAAGGCUGUGAACACCAGGUCUAUGAGACUUUGUAUGAAGAGAACAAGGAGCUAGCUCCAUGUAAGGUCUGAUUCUUUUCCCUCCAUUCGCUUUAAAGUUGUGAUCUAGCGUGUCUGACGUGAAAUCUGUGUUUAGUUCUCUCUCUUUCUGAUAUAGUGCUUGCAGUUCGUUGACAUGUUACUCAUCGGGUCAAUAGUUUUAAUCCAGUCACAUCAACGUGGAUUAAUUUGUCACCCAAGAGAAGUCAGUAAUGCUGCUUGGAGUUGGAAGUUCAUAGUAGAUUGUUCUUCCUUCUCUUCUGAUGACAAAGUUUCCAGCUUUAUGUCAUUUCAUUCAAAAGAAGACCACGAUGAGCUACUCAAAGUGUUGUGGGCGUGGACUACAUGGUCAAACGGGCUCAAAUAUUUCAAGAGAGGUAUAGAAGAAGAGGACGCUAGAGAACAAAGGGAAAUGGGGUCUACACCUCCUAUUCAAGCCUUUUAAAGCUAUGUGAAUGAUAUGGACCCGUUAAGAGUUCAUGGAGUUGCAGCUGCUGUCUCACUGUUGAGCAGCGUCUAUCACUGUGCAACGAGGCGAAUGAUCUAUAGAAUGCAGCAAGUGAACUACAAUGAGAUAUUCAAAGGGAAUAUGACGAAAAAGUUGGAUGCAUACAGCCUGUUGAAGAUUUAUCCGACCAAAGUGAACCGAGUUUACAGUAUACUUGUGAAGAAGGUAUCAGUACCUUUAUAUUGAACUUGAAGCUAGAAUAUUGUUAUCUUACAAGAAGCUCAGUUACAAUUCAAUUACUUCCCAUCAAGGAAUGACCCGGUUCAUCAUGCUGAGAAGUAUCCAGCUCCACCUGCAGUCUACUCUGGGAAACAUGGGACAGUUAUCAUAUUAAACAUGUAUUCUCAUCAUUGCCACCUCUCACCAGGUGCUUACUAUCUCCUUGACGAACAGGUGCUUCCGGCAAACAUCCACCGUUCCAGUCAACAUUAUUUUGUUUGCACUGUAACAUACUAUUGGACUCAGCUGUUCUGUUAAGUUUGAGGCGGAGAUUGCACCACAAAACAUUACCCAGACAAUUCCUUCACCGUCAUUAUCUCCAUGUUUCAUGUUUGAGGUUUAUCAGUGAAUGACUAACUCCUUCUCUUUAUAUUGUUGGUGGAUGGAAAGUGAAACCAGAGAGAAGUGAUUCAGGUGUACAGACAUGGAAACUUUUCAAUUCCAACAAGAAUUAGC